This 205-nucleotide long non-coding RNA is filed under the name Vitis vinifera (wine grape). RNAcentral describes it as "long non-coding RNA (VVIN_LNC005055)". Lineage: Eukaryota; Viridiplantae; Streptophyta; Magnoliopsida; Vitales; Vitaceae. The record is from RNAcentral.
UAAAAUGGGAAAUGACACUUAGGUCAAAGGUGGCCAUGCACAAGUGGCCAUGCAUUGACGCACAAAUGGAAAGGUGAUGAGGGAAAACCAAGUAAGAAUGCAGUCUGGAGUGCCACUACACCUGCUCUGUCAACAACCCAUCUUCAAAUGAAUCACAUGAUCUUUUUGUAUGGGCUGGCCAUCCAUAUGCUGCACCACCAACUGA